This 483-nucleotide ribosomal RNA is filed under the name uncultured bacterium. RNAcentral's name for it is "partial 16S ribosomal RNA". It matches the Rfam family "Bacterial small subunit ribosomal RNA", at positions 30 to 507 of the family's 1533-position model. The record is from RNAcentral.
AUUGAACGCUGGCGGCAGGCCUAACACAUGCAAGUCGAGCGGAUGAAGGGAGCUUGCUCCUGGAUUCAGCGGCGGACGGGUGAGUAAUGCCCAGGAAUCUGCCUGGUAGUGGGGGAUAACGUCCGGAAACGGGCGCUAAUACCGCAUACGUCCUGAGGGAGAAAGUGGGGGAUCUUCGGACCUCACGCUAUCAGAUGAGCCUAGGUCGGAUUAGCUAGUUGGUGGGGUAAGGCCUACCAAGGCGACGAUCCGUAACUGGUCUGAGAGGAUGAUCAGUCACACUGGAACUGAGACACGGUCCAGACUCCUACGGGAGGCAGCAGUGGGGAAUAUUGGACAAUGGGCGAAAGCCUGAUCCAGCCAUGCCGCGUGUGUGAAGAAGGUCUUCGGAUUGUAAAGCACUUUAAGUUGGGAGGAAGGGCAGUAAGUUAAUACCUUGCUGUUUUGACGUUACCAACAGAAUAAGCACCGGCUAACUUCGUG